ACACGACUACAUUAGAUACCCCCGUAGUCCUAGCCGUAAACGAUACUCGCUAGGUGUCGGCCACGGUGCGACCGUUGUCGGUGCCGUAGGGAAGCCGUGAAGCGAGCCACCUGGGAAGUACGGCCGCAAGGCUGAAACUUAAAGGAAUUGGCGGAGGAGCACCACAAGAGGUGGAGGCUGCGGUUCAAUUGGACUCAACGCCGGAAAACUCAUCGGGAGCGACAGCAGUAUGAUUGCCAGGUUGAUGACCUUGCUUGACAAGCUG
This 265-nucleotide ribosomal RNA is filed under the name uncultured archaeon. RNAcentral's name for it is "partial 16S ribosomal RNA". It matches the Rfam family "Archaeal small subunit ribosomal RNA", at positions 717 to 982 of the family's 1478-position model. The record is from RNAcentral.